GACGAACGCUGGCGGCGUGCUUAACACAUGCAAGUCGAACGGAAAGGCCCUGCUUUUGUGGGGUGCUCGAGUGGCGAACGGGUGAGUAACACGUGAGUAACCUGCCCUUGACUUUGGGAUAACUUCAGGAAACUGGGGCUAAUACCGGAUAGGAGCUCCUGCUGCAUGGUGGGGGUUGGAAAGUUUCGGCGGUUGGGGAUGGACUCGCGGCUUAUCAGCUUGUUGGUGGGGUAGUGGCUUACCAAGGCUUUGGCGGGUAGCCGGCCUGAGAGGGUGACCGGCCACAUUGAGACUGAGAUACGGCUCAGACUCCUACGGGAGGCAGCAGUGGGGAAUAUUGCACAAUGGGCGGAAGCCUGAUGCAGCAACGCCGCGUGCGGGAUGACGGCCUUCGGGUUGUAAACCGCUUUCGCCUGUGACGAAGCGUGAGUGACGGUAAUGGGUAAAGAAGCACCGGCUAACUACGUG
This 468-nucleotide ribosomal RNA is filed under the name uncultured bacterium. RNAcentral's name for it is "partial 16S ribosomal RNA". It matches the Rfam family "Bacterial small subunit ribosomal RNA", at positions 28 to 507 of the family's 1533-position model. The record is from RNAcentral.